Molecule: non-coding RNA, 24 nt
Filed under: Rattus norvegicus (Norway rat)
Lineage: Eukaryota; Metazoa; Chordata; Mammalia; Rodentia; Muridae
Source: RNAcentral
ACCCAAUGGUAAGAACAAAUUCAG